Molecule: long non-coding RNA, 1909 nt
Organism: Papaver somniferum (opium poppy)
Lineage: Eukaryota; Viridiplantae; Streptophyta; Magnoliopsida; Ranunculales; Papaveraceae
Exons: 8
Source: RefSeq, a predicted model, not a curated record
UAACAAAACCCUUUCUCCAUGACCCAUUUUCCACACACAUUUUCUCUUCUACAUUUCUUAUUCAUCCACGCUGAACCCUAAACGAGACGGUAUCUAGGGUUCACUGGAUCAUCAGUUUCCUUCUGCUACCACCAGUUCUUCUUCUCAAUCUCCCUCACCACCACCACCACCACCACCACCACCACCACCUUGAUCUUCUUCAUCUAAAAGGUUAAAAUUGAUUCACCCAACCAAUGGAUGAAUCAUGUGAAAUGCCUGAGGCACAAAAAGGUGCAGGUGGAAAGACAAUUGGUGCUUCACCUAAAGUACCCAAAACAGGCUUAAAGGUGGGAUUACUUGAAGAUGUUGCUCUAUCAGCACCUCGUGAUCUUGUUAAGGUUUCUAUUUCAGGUGCAAUGCCGGUUAUGCCACCUCCAGCUACAAGUGAGGAACAAAUGGCUUCGCCUGAAGUACCCAUAAAAGGUUUAAAGGAGGAAUUACUUGAAGAUAUGGCUACGACAACACCUCUUGAUCUUGUUACAUUAGGUUCUCAUAUCUUUUAGUUGAUUUUUUUGAGGGCACCACAAUACUUAGUGGAGAUUAUGAUUUUGGGAUCCUUGUAGGUUAUAUGGUGCAAGUGGAUCCGCGUGGUGUUGCAGGCGUGUCCGUGAGUAUUUGAUCAAUAAGAUUGAAAAAAAACAUAGGAAGGGGAGAGUUUUAACGUCAAGAAAGGGUGCAACAUAUGCAAAGAGGUUUCUUAAUAUCCCAGUGGAGGUGUUGAAGAAUAAUGUACCAGGAGAUUAUUUAGACUUUGAUAAAAUGAUUUGUGGGGUAACACUUGGUAUGUAUGAGCCGAAGGAGGAAGUGAAGUCAAAGAAGCUACAGAAGUCAAGCAAGAAACAUAAGUCUAAUAAGAGAACACAUGAAGAGGUUGAAGAAGAAGAAGGUCAGAAAGUGAAGUCAAAGAAGCUACAGAAGUCAAGCAAGAAACAUAAGUCUAAUAAGAUAACACAUGAAGAGUUUGAAGAAGAAGAGUCAGAAAGUGAACUCAAAGAAGAUACAGAAGUCAAGCAAGAAACAUAAGUCUAAUAAGAGAACACAUGAAAAGGUUGAAGAAGAAGAAGGUCAGAAAUCUAAGUUUGAUCCCUCACACUAUUUUGCAUCAACAGAAUUUAUUACCAAAAGAAGAGCAGGAUUGUAUUAUAUAUGCAAGGACGAAGAAAUUACUAAAGUUGAAAGAUUUAAGGUUGAUGGUCAUGAUGAUGGCAAGGCUGAAAGUUAUCUUGAAAGUAAUUAUGAUCGUACUCAUAUUAUGGACAUUGCUGUUAUGCAUAUGGAGGAAGCUAUGGUUGAGGGUUGCGAGUCUGGACAAAGUGGAGGCAUGAUCACAAUUGAUUGUAUUGACCACAACAAUACAAUCACGAAUGUCUGUGAGAAAGAUAUAGAACAAUUGCGUCAGGAAAAGCUUCAACGAGAUAUAGCAUUUUACGAUGCUAAUAGUAAAAGAACAUCAAAACCUGUUUUAGGGAAGUACGACAUAAGGGGGUAGACAAAUGUUACAGAGAUUGGGGGAGUUGAUGAGCUGACUGUUGAAGACAAUUGGAAGAGACAAAUCAAUCUGGGCUCUCACUGUUACCCUGUCAGAAAUAUGUUGUUUUGGUCAGUCAGCAUUAGGUUCUAUUGGUCGUAUUUGUCUUAUGUUAUAAUCUAGAUUAUUUUGUCCUCUACAGUUGUGGUUCUUCUAUUAGGACCGGUUAUGAACUUCUCUAUAUCUUGACUGGAAAGUUAUAAACUUUGGUCUGUCUUUCUUGGAAUCUUGUUAAUGGACCAAUUUUGUCUAUGGUUAAUUGUUUGGUAUAGUGACCGAUUGUGGUGAUUUUGUACACCUUUAAACACAUUAUUGCAAGCAAGCAAACAAACAAGUUGAGCA